GGAAUUUAGCUCAGUGGUAGAGCGCUUGCCUAGCAAGCGCAAGGCCCUGGGUUCGGUUCCCAGCUCCG
This is a non-coding RNA of Rattus norvegicus (Norway rat), 68 nucleotides long. The record is from Rfam. Lineage: Eukaryota; Metazoa; Chordata; Mammalia; Rodentia; Muridae.